UACAAUAGUUGGGUAGCCUAAAGUCAUAUUUUAAAAUAUUCAUGACCAAGUGUCAUGUGAUAAUUGGACUUAAAAAAAAAAAUCAGACUCCCUUGUAAAAGAAGUUAGCAACUCACAGCAACUGUCAGUAACGCUUCAGAGAGUAUGUAAUGAGUCAACUCACAAGAGGAGAGAGAGAGUUAUGAGGAGGGUUGCUCCUCACCGAUGUGCAUGCUCUGAAAAAACCACCUUGUUCUAUAUAAUGCACUCUGCUUUUAUUCUUUUCUAUCUAUCAAACCUCCCUAUUUCUCCUGGUUAAGAAACUUUCAUUUUCUCAAUAUUUAUUUAAAACAAAAAAAACACUCAGUUUUCAUUUUAAUGGGAAAUUUGAUUAAUAACCGCAUUUGCAAUUACAACCCCGAAUCACUGCCUCCAGCAGAUUUAGAUGACAACCUCAAAGCACCAGCACCGGCACCGGAACCAGCACCUUCUUAUGCCAAUUAUAACUCAAAUAUCGAGUUAUCAUUUUCACUCAAAAUACAGUCGGGUGAGCUCAAUGAAAAUCCCAGGAGCAAUCUGCUGCUAGCAAUAUUCAAGGGGGAAAAGGACGAGGAGAUUAUUAAAGAAAUUGGUCGUACAGAGGUCUUUGAGGGCAGUUCAGAGUUAGAUCUUUUCCGGUCUAAUAAACUGCCAGUCAAAUAUUGUUUUGGGGACAAUCAGCCAUUAAUCUUACGUCUCUAUCACGUCUAUCCAGAAAAUCACAGCACACUUGUAGCGGAUCUCAUGUUGCAUGAGGAAGAACUUCUUGCAGAAAGCAGCGUUCUUCUGUCUCAGAUUGUUGUAGGUAUGGAGAGUACUUGUUCUCUACGUCUAGAAAACAAACAAAUGGGACAACAUAUAGGAACGCUGACUGUUCAAGCAGAGGAGACUGUGGCAUCAAGAGGUCUAUUGAUCAAAAUUUGUACCCAUAAUGGAAUUUCUAAAAAGGGUCAAUUCCUGAAAGUAUUAAAAAAAAUGCAAACGGGACAGCCAAUGAAAUCUGCACCACGGAACUGGUGAAGAACAAUCCGAAACCUGAGUGGAGUGUCUAUCUUAAUAUGCAGCAAAUUGGUGGCAAGGGUGACGAGUUAAUCAUUGAAGGCUAUAACUUCAGCAGCAAUCGCAAUCAUACUUUAUUUGG
RNA transcript from Chenopodium quinoa (quinoa), 1159 nucleotides. It is a transcript of the gene named protein BONZAI 3-like, with no coding region annotated. Lineage: Eukaryota; Viridiplantae; Streptophyta; Magnoliopsida; Caryophyllales; Amaranthaceae. The record is from RefSeq and is a predicted model, not a curated record. The transcript has 8 exons.